This 441-nucleotide ribosomal RNA is filed under the name uncultured bacterium. RNAcentral's name for it is "partial 16S ribosomal RNA". It matches the Rfam family "Bacterial small subunit ribosomal RNA", at positions 338 to 795 of the family's 1533-position model. The record is from RNAcentral.
CCUACGGGUGGCAGCAGUGGGGAAUAUUGCGCAAUGGGGGAAACCCUGAUGCAGCGACGCCGCGUGAUUGAAGCAGUAUUUCGGUGUGUAAAGCUCUAUCAGCAGGGCAAAAAAAAGACGGUACCUUACUAAGAAGCCCGGGCUAACUACGUACCAGCAGCCGCGGUAAUCCGUAGGGGGCACGCGUUAUCCGGAUUUACUGGGUUUAAAGGGUGCGUAGACGGGUGUGCAAGUCUGAAGUGAAAGCCCAGGGCUCAACCCUGGGACUGCUUUGGAUACUGUGGAGCUAGAGUGCUGGAGAGGUAAGUGGAAUUCCUAGUGUAGCGGUGAAAUGCGUAGAUAUCAGGAGGAACAUCAGUGGCGAAGGCGGCUUACUGGACAGUAACUGACGUUGAGGAUCGAAAGCGUGGGGAGCAAACAGGAUUAGAUACCCCUGUAGUC